Non-coding RNA from Triticum urartu, 1572 nucleotides. Lineage: Eukaryota; Viridiplantae; Streptophyta; Magnoliopsida; Poales; Poaceae. The record is from RefSeq and is a predicted model, not a curated record.
CACCCUGAGCUAAUCUCUCGCUCGCCUCUCCCUCUUCCCCGCACCACUCCUCGCCGCCGCCACCACCUACGGCGCCCGAUCCCGUCUGAUUCCGGCGUCCUCUGGCGGAGCCCAGCACACCACCGUGCCCCCCUCCCAACGCGCCUUCCUCCCAUCGGGCCAGAUCCGGCACGCGCGUCCUCCAGCGGCCAAGCGUGACCCUGCCCAGCAGCUAGGGUUUGGGCCAGCACGUCGCCGGGCAUGGAGCCUCCUCCCGCUGUCUCCUUCUUCUACAACUUCUCUUCGUCUCCUCUUGAUGUGUGCGCGUAUUGUGUCAAUGAAAGGAAUUCAAGGCCAUGGCCGGAGAGAGAGGAGCUGCUCCUAGUAUAUAUAGGACGCCAUGGAAGGUUAUCCUUGUUCUGUUCUUUUAAUUUUUUUUGUUUCUCUUCCCGAUCUAGACAUGUUGAACGCUCUGUUUUUUGCAGGUGCUGCUCCGAUGAGGAGAAACUGCUGCUGCAGGACGUCCUCCUCCCCUCCUACCCCCACCUAGGGCUCUCGGAGGAGGCGAAGCAAUGGGAUAGCCACAUCAUGAAGGGCUGCGAGGGAGAUAUGUCCAUCGAUUGCCUCAGGUUCUUCUUUGAUCGUAGAUUGUUUUCCUACGAUGCCGACCACAGAAUCCCAUAAUGUAUGUCCAUUGCCAAUCUAUGGAUCCUACAAAGAAGAUUGAGUAAGAGCUUAGAUGUGUCUGCAGAGGCAUAAAAAAACAUGGUGAUCAGAAGGAUUUGUACGGGUAAGAUGCAAACAGUGCUGGCCUAUAUUAGCAUGCAGUUCUUUUUUAUUUGUUCUUAUAAUUUAUCUGUUUCCCAGCAUAUAUCCCUGAUUCUUUUCAUCAAUCUAGCGGCGAAUCACCUCAUCCGAUUGACUCAUAUUGCAACAGGGAAAGGCAGAUAUGCCAUGGCCUUUGCCUCCAUCUGCCAUUGGCCUUUGUGUGUUUCCUUUAUUUGGGGGAAAACGAGAUUGAGAUGCAGACUAUGAAUAUCGCAGACUGAUAAUGUAAUUGGCCUUCUGCUCACAUUUUACAAAAUUGGAUAAUGAAGUGCAAUACAGGACUCUCGGCUAUGGAAUAAUUACUCUUUUGUAUCUCACUGUCCAGCCUUUGAUUCGAGGUAUGAGGAUAUAGGUAUGAAGGAGCAGCUCGGCAGUUACUUACAAAAAGGCUUUGGCACUCUCAUAAAUGGCUCCAUUUUUGUUUACCUUCUACUGAUCUGUAACAAAGAUGAUUUCUCUGUUGCCGUUGAGGAUACAAAGAUCUAGCUCGACUGGACUCUAGAUCACGGACAGUUUAGUCUUGGCCCUUAAUUAGGAUGGCUAAAUUACAUUUGAUGGAUAUUUGCUAUGAGAAUUAUGAAUUUUAUGAAUCCACAUAUUAUAUGUAUGGUUUUGAAAGUUGUAAUUGAAUGCCUAUAUUUUUUUUACGGUUGCAAUAGGCUAUUACCACAACCCACUUUUGGUUGCCACAUGUUAGCACCACGAAAAGUAUAAAUUGUCGCAAUAGUUUCUUGCAACAAACAUUUCACCCAUUGUGAUACCUAU